RNAcentral lists this ribosomal RNA (497 nucleotides) under uncultured bacterium. RNAcentral's name for it is "partial 16S ribosomal RNA". It matches the Rfam family "Bacterial small subunit ribosomal RNA", at positions 28 to 507 of the family's 1533-position model. The record is from RNAcentral.
GACGAACGCUGGCGGCGUGCCUAAUACAUGCAAGUCGAGCGAACGGCCGUGGAGCUUGCUUUUCUUCUGUUAUCGGCGGACGGGUGUGUAACACGUGGAUUACAUACCUACAAGACUGGGAUACCUUCGUGAAACAGGAGCUAUUAUCGGAUAUUCUUUUUAAUCUCAUGGUUCAAAAGUGAAAGACGGUCUUGCUGUCACUUAUAGAUGCACUGGCGCUGCAUUAGCUAGUUGGUAAGGUAACGGCUUACCAAGGCAACGAUGCAUAGCAGACCUGAGAGGGUGAUCGGCAACACGGGAACUGAGCCACGGCCCAGACUCCUACGGGAGGCAGCAGUAGGGAAUCUUCCGCAAUGGACGAAAGCCUGACGGAGCAACGCCGCGUGAGUGAUGAAGGCCUUCGGAUCGUAAAACUCUGUUAUUAGGGAAGAACAUAUGUGUAAGUAACGGUGCACAGCUUGACGGUACCUAAUCAGAAAGCCACGGCUAACUACGUG